UACGAAGGGGGCUAGCGUUGCUCGGAAUUACUGGGCGUAAAGGGCGCGUAGGCGGACAGUUUAGUCGGGGGUGAAAGCCCGGGGCUCAACCUCGGAAUUGCCUUCGAUACUGGCUGUCUUGAGUACGGGAGAGGUGUGUGGAACUCGAGUGUAGAGGUGAAAUUCGUAGAUAUUCGGAAGAACACCAGUGGCGAAGGCGACACACUGGCCCGUUACUGACGCUGAGGCGCGAAAGCGUGGGGAGCAAACAGG
This 252-nucleotide ribosomal RNA is filed under the name uncultured bacterium. RNAcentral's name for it is "partial 16S ribosomal RNA". It matches the Rfam family "Bacterial small subunit ribosomal RNA", at positions 524 to 776 of the family's 1533-position model. The record is from RNAcentral.